RNAcentral lists this ribosomal RNA (249 nucleotides) under uncultured bacterium. RNAcentral describes it as "partial 16S ribosomal RNA". It matches the Rfam family "Bacterial small subunit ribosomal RNA", at positions 523 to 771 of the family's 1533-position model. The record is from RNAcentral.
AUACGUAGGGGGCAAGCGUUAUCCGGAUUUACUGGGUGUAAAGGGAGCGUAGGCGGCAAGGCAAGUCUGAUGUGAAAACCCGGGGCUCAACCCCGGGACUGCAUUGGAAACUGCUUAGCUAGAGUGUCGGAGAGGUAAGUGGAAUUCCUAGUGUAGCGGUGAAAUGCGUAGAUAUUAGGAGGAACACCAGUGGCGAAGGCGACUUACUGGACUGUAACUGACACUGAGGCACGAAAGCGGUGGGGAGAC